UACCAUAAUUCAUUUUUAGUUUCAUUUUGGCAAUCUUAAAUAGGGUUUACAGACUUGGACUAUUGGACUAUUAAUCGGUAGUGGGUACAUAUGCGUUUCAUUUAGUGGUUUGCAUUACUAAUAUCAUUUCCCUGUCUACAUUCUCCUCAUUUCUUUUUGGUUAAAUAGGCUUUGGUGAAGUGAAUUAGGAAACAGAAAUACAAACAGAAUUACUACAUUACCAAGGUAUUUCCCUCAUUUCAUUACUGAGGUAAUUCCCUAUUCAUUCUUAAGACAAUCGCACAACAUGUUUAAUAUUUACUUUGAAUGCCGUCAAAGGCAUCACCUUUUUAGUAUUUGAAUGAUUUCAACGCCAUCGUGGUCAAUAUUAAGCAUGUACUUGCUUUUGCUUUCCAAACGGUGUUUCCAAAUAAAAGUAUCUCCGGUGGUAGGUAUCUCAUUCUCUUUCAUUUUUAGUUUCAUUUUGGAUGCAAAUUUUUCUUCUUUUUGUUAGAUUAUGUCAUGGAAGCUUUAGGUGGAGUUUUUUUUCACAGUAAGUAGAAUAGAAAAGGAAGGUCAUGCCCAAAGACUUACGAACUAAGGCAAAACACCAGAAACAGAGACGGGAAAGCAUAGAAAUGGUACAACAAAAAUAAUAGCAAAAAGUGACUGCAUGAAGGGGUUUGGUGCAGUGAAUUAGUGGAGCAUUCAAACAAAAAUACAAACAGAAAUACUGCAUUACUAAGGACGGCGAUAUGAGUUCAUGAUAUGAAGAACCGUCAAGUGUAUCAAGGCCAGUUGAAGUUCUUGGAUUGUUUUUAUACUUUUUACUUAGCUUUUAGUUGCAACUAAAUUAUAAGGAUCUUCUAUGUUAUUUAUUACUUUUUUUUUUUUUACAAAUUCUAGAUAAAUACUUUAAAUUAC
This is a non-coding RNA of Malus domestica (apple), 903 nucleotides long. The record is from RefSeq and is a predicted model, not a curated record. NCBI's taxonomy places the organism in Eukaryota, Viridiplantae, Streptophyta, Magnoliopsida, Rosales, Rosaceae.